RNAcentral lists this ribosomal RNA (460 nucleotides) under uncultured bacterium. RNAcentral describes it as "partial 16S ribosomal RNA". It matches the Rfam family "Bacterial small subunit ribosomal RNA", at positions 338 to 795 of the family's 1533-position model. The record is from RNAcentral.
CCUACGGGCGACAGCAGUGAGGAAUAUUGGUCAAUGGACGAGAGUCUGAACCAGCGAAGUAGCGUGAAGGAUGAAUGCCCUAUGGGUUGUAAACUUCUUUUAUAAAGGAAUAAAAUGAGGCACGUGUGCCUUUUUGCAUGUACUGUAUGAAUAAGGAUCGGCUAACUCCGUGCCAGCAGCCGCGGUAAUACGGAGGAUACGAGCGUUAUCCCGAUUUAUUGGGUUUAAAGGGAGCGUAGAUGGGUUGUUAAGUCAGUUGUGAAAGUUUGGGGCUUAACCGUAAAAUUGCAAUGGAUACUGGCAGUCUUGAGUACAGUUGAGGUAGGCGGAAUUCGUGGUGGAGCGGUGAAAUGCUUAGAUAUAACGAAGAACACCGAGUGCGAAGGCAGCUUACUAAACUGAUACUGACAUUGAUGCUCGAAAGUGUGGGUAUCAAACAGGAUUAGAUACCCUUGUAGUC